This 253-nucleotide ribosomal RNA is filed under the name uncultured bacterium. RNAcentral's name for it is "partial 16S ribosomal RNA". It matches the Rfam family "Bacterial small subunit ribosomal RNA", at positions 524 to 776 of the family's 1533-position model. The record is from RNAcentral.
UACAGAGGGUGCAAACGUUGUUCGGAUUUACUGGGCGUAAAGCGCGUGUAGGCGGCUAUGUAAGUCGGGCGUGAAAUCCCACGGCUCAACCGUGGAAGUGCACCCGAAACUGCGUAGCUAGAGUCCUGGAGAGGAAGGUGGAAUGCUUGGUGUAGAGGUGAAAUUCGUAGAUAUCAAGCGGAACACCGGUGGCGAAGGCGGCCUUCUGGACAGUGACUGACGCUGAGACGCGAAAGCGUGGGGAGCAAACAGG